This 391-nucleotide unclassified non-coding RNA is filed under the name soil metagenome. Its description in RNAcentral is "partial contains 5.8S ribosomal RNA, internal transcribed spacer 2, and large subunit ribosomal RNA". The stretch from base 1 to 122 matches the Rfam family "5.8S ribosomal RNA", at positions 35 to 154 of the family's 154-position model. The record is from RNAcentral.
GAUGAAGAACGUAGCGAAAUGCGAUACUUGGUGUGAAUUGCAGAAUCCCGUGAACCAUCGAGUCUUUGAACGCAAGUUGCGCCCGAAGCCAUUAGGCCGAGGGCACGCCUGCUUGGGGGUCACACGUCGUUGCCCCCCCAUCUACUCCUUCGGGAUUGCGGGGGGCGGAUGAUGGCUUCCCGUGCGCCUCGUCGCGCGGUUGGCAUAAAUGCCAAGUCCUCGGCGACGCACGCCACGACAAUCGGUGGUUGCGAAACCUCGGUUGCCCGUCGUGUGCGGUCGUCGCGCAUCGAGGGCUCGAAAAAAUUGCCGGGCUCCGGCUCGGCUUUCAACGCGACCCCAGGUCAGGCGGGGUUACCCGCUGAAUUUAAGCAUAUCAAUAAGCGGAGGA